GAUUAAGCCAUGCAUGUCUAAGUAUAAGCAUUCCUUUUACUGUAAAACUGCGGACGGCUCAUUAAAUCAGUUAUAAUUUACAUGAUCAUAAUACUUCACAUGGAUAACCGUGGGAAUUCUAGAGCUAAUACAUGAUUCAUAAAUCAGGACCUUCUCUUUUGAAGGAAAUGAUGAAUUUAUUAGAUUAACCAACGCAUGAUAUUUAAACUAUAUGGAACUAGUGUCUGUAUGGGUCAUGGUCUCAUUUGAGAUACUUUUGGUGAUUCAAAAUAACUUAUCGAAUCGCAGAGACAUUUAUUUGUCGGCGAUGAUACAUACAAAUUUCUGCCCUAUCAACUGUCGAUGGUAGUGUAGUGGACUACCAUGGUGAUAACGGGUAACGGGGAAUUAGGGUUCGAUUCCGGAGAGGGAGCCUGAGAAAUGGCUACCACUUCCAAGGAAGGCAGCAGGCGCGCAAAUUACCCAAUCCUAAUUCAGGGAGGUAGUGACAAGAAAUACCAAUACAAUGCCAAUGGUGUUGUGUUUGGAAUGAGAGUAAUCUAAAAAGUUGCUCGAGGAACAAUUGGAGGGCAAGUCUGGUGCCAGCAGCCGCGGUAAUUCCAGCUCCAAUAGUGUAUAUUAAAGUUGCUGCAGUUAAAAAGCUCGUAGUUGAAUGUCGGUUAUCGUGAAGAUUGUCUACUUUUUACAAGUACGUACAUAAUUCCGAUACCUUCUUUCAGGUAGUGAUUUAUUUUGCUCCUGAUAAUUUACUUUGAGAAAAUUAGAGUGUUCAAAGCAGGCGUAACAAUGCCUUUGGAUAUAUUAGCAUGGGAUAAUGAAAUAAGACUUUUUGCCUUAUUCUCGUUGGUUCUUUGGGCUUAAGUAAUGAUUAAUAGGGACAGUUGGGGUUAUCUGUAUUUGAUCGCCAGAGGUGAAAUUCUAAGACUGAUCAAAGACAAACUACUGCGAAAGCAUUUAACAAGGAUGUUUUCAUUAAUCAAGAACGAAAGUUGGGGGAUCGAAGAUGAUCAGAUACCGUCGUAGUCCCAACCAUAAACUAUGCCGACCAAGGAUUCGCAAUCGUUACAUGAAUGACCUCUCGGGCACUUAUAGAGAAAUCACAAGUAUUUGGGUUCCGGGGGGAGUAUGGUCGCAAGGCUGAAACUUAAAGGAAUUGACGGAAGGGCACCACAAGGAGUGGAAUAUGCGGUUUAAUUUGACCCAACACGGGAAAACUUACCAGGUCCAGACACAAGGAGGAUUGACAGAUUGAGAGCUCUUUCUUAAUUUUGUGGGUGGUGGUGCAUGGCCGUUUCUAGUUGGUGGAGUGAUUUGUCUGGUUAAUUCCGUUAACGAACGAGACCUUAACCUAUUAAAUAGUUACAUCC
This 1367-nucleotide ribosomal RNA is filed under the name metagenome. Its description in RNAcentral is "SSU rRNA". It matches the Rfam family "Eukaryotic small subunit ribosomal RNA", at positions 42 to 1366 of the family's 1831-position model. The record is from RNAcentral.